UCCCCGCUUCUCCUCCCUGAGCGGGUGCCUGUCGUUAUUCGAUUAGGCUGUUCACCCGCCGUACUGCGGCGGGUUUUUUGU
Molecule: non-coding RNA, 81 nt
Filed under: Candidatus Burkholderia verschuerenii
Lineage: Bacteria; Pseudomonadati; Pseudomonadota; Betaproteobacteria; Burkholderiales; Burkholderiaceae
Description: Burkholderia RNA 7 (anti-hemB)
Rfam family: Burkholderia RNA 7 (anti-hemB)
About the family: This RNA motif was identified by computational search in b-proteobacteria Burkholderia. Co-purified with Hfq, expression confirmed by Northern blot.
Source: Rfam by way of RNAcentral